UACGGAGGGGGCGAGCGUUAUUCGGAAUUAUUGGGCGUAAAGGGCGCGUAGGCGGCUUGAUGUGUCACAGGUGAAAUCCCUCGGCUCAACUGAGGAACUGCCUUUGAAACUGUCUGGCUUGAGGCCGGGAGAGGGUAGCGGAAUUCCCAGUGUAGCGGUGAAAUGCGUAGAUACUGGGAGGAACACCGGUGGCGAAGGCGGCUACCUGGACCGGUUCUGACGCUGAUGCGCGAAAGCGUGGGUAGCAAACAGG
This 253-nucleotide ribosomal RNA is filed under the name uncultured bacterium. Its description in RNAcentral is "partial 16S ribosomal RNA". It matches the Rfam family "Bacterial small subunit ribosomal RNA", at positions 524 to 776 of the family's 1533-position model. The record is from RNAcentral.